RNAcentral lists this long non-coding RNA (201 nucleotides) under Lathyrus oleraceus (garden pea). Its description in RNAcentral is "Pisum sativum (pea) long non-coding RNA (PSAT_LNC008548)". The record is from RNAcentral. Lineage: Eukaryota; Viridiplantae; Streptophyta; Magnoliopsida; Fabales; Fabaceae.
CCUAUUAUGAUGGAAACGAGUUUUGGUGAGCUCCGAUCCCAUUGUGAUGGGUCGGGUGCGAGUAACUAAUUCCUAUUAUGGGGGGAUUAAUGAAGUGUUACCUAUGAUGAUGGUAGCGAUUUGAUGUGCUCCGAUUCCAAGAGGGAAUCUUAUCUUAUGGUGGGGAUUGGGGAGUGAAAUGAACCUGCAUGUUCAUAUUUG